Molecule: ribosomal RNA, 353 nt
Filed under: Enterobacter roggenkampii
Lineage: Bacteria; Pseudomonadati; Pseudomonadota; Gammaproteobacteria; Enterobacterales; Enterobacteriaceae
Description: partial 23S ribosomal RNA
Rfam family: Bacterial large subunit ribosomal RNA
Source: RNAcentral
CAGUGUGUUCCGACACACUAUCGUUAACUGAAUACAUAGGUUAACGAGGCGAACCGGGGGAACUGAAACAUCUAAGUACCCCGAGGAAAAGAAAUCAACCGAGAUUCCCCCAGUAGCGGCGAGCGAACGGGGAGCAGCCCAGAGUCUGAAUCAGCUUGUGUGUUAGUGGAAGCGUCUGGAAAGUCGCACGGUACAGGGUGACAGUCCCGUACACGAAAAUGCACAGGUUGUGAACUCGAAGAGUAGGGCGGGACACGUGGUAUCCUGUCUGAAUAUGGGGGGACCAUCCUCCAAGGCUAAAUACUCCUGACUGACCGAUAGUGAACCAGUACCGUGAGGGAAAGGCGAAAAGA